GAUUCUGGCUCGAGGACGAACGCUGGCGGCGUGCCUAACACAUGCAAGUCGAGCGAGGAGAUCCUCGGGAUGAUCCUAGCGGCGGACGGGUGAGUAACACGUGGGCAACCUGCCUCAUAGAGAGGAAUAGCCUUCCGAAAGGGAGAUUAAUACCUCAUAACAUUGCAGUUUCGCAUGGAACAGCAAUUAAAGGAGCAAUCCGCUAUGAGAUGGGCCCGCGGCGCAUUAGCUAGUUGGUGAGGUAACGGCUCACCAAGGCGACGAUGCGUAGCCGACCUGAGAGGGUGAUCGGCCACAUUGGGACUGAGACACGGCCCAGACUCCGUACGGGAGGCAGCAGGUGGGGAAUAUUGCACAAUGGGGGAAACCCUGAUGCAAGCAACGCCGCGUGAGUGAUGACGGCCUUCGGGUUGUAAAGCUCUGUCUUCAGGGACGAUAAUGACGGUACCUGAGGAGGAAGCCACGGCUAACUACGUGCCAGCAGCCGC
Molecule: ribosomal RNA, 488 nt
Filed under: uncultured bacterium
Lineage: Bacteria
Description: bacterial SSU rRNA
Rfam family: Bacterial small subunit ribosomal RNA
Source: RNAcentral